UACGGGGGGGGCAAGCGUUGUUCGGAAUUACUGGGCGUAAAGGGCUCGUAGGCGGCCAACUAAGUCGGGUGUGAAAUCCCCAGGCUUAACCUGGGAACUGCAUCCGAUACUGGAUGGCUUGAAUUCGGGAGAGGGAUGCAGAAUUCCAGGUGUAGCGGUGAAAUGCGUAGAUAUCUGGAGGAAUACCGGUGGCGAAGGCGGCAUCCUGGACCGAGAUUGACGCUGAUGCGCGAAAGCCAGGGGAGCGAACGGG
Molecule: ribosomal RNA, 253 nt
Filed under: uncultured bacterium
Lineage: Bacteria
Description: partial 16S ribosomal RNA
Rfam family: Bacterial small subunit ribosomal RNA
Source: RNAcentral